CAGGGAUUGCCCUAGUAACGGCGAGUGAAGCGGCAACAGCUCAAAUUUGAAAUCUGGCCCUCGGGUCCGAAUUGUAAUUUGUAGAGGAUGCUUUUGGUCAGGUGCCUUCCGAGUUCCCUGGAACGGGACGCCUUAGAGGGUGAGAGCCCCGUACGGUUGGACGCCGAGCCUCUGUAAAGCUCCUUCGACGAGUCGAGUAGUUUGGGAAUGCUGCUCUAAAUGGGAGGUAAAUUUCUUCUAAAGCUAAAUAUUGGCCAGAGACCGAUAGCGCACAAGUAGAGUGAUCGAAAGAUGAAAAGUACUUUGAAAAGAGGGUUAAACAGCACGUGAAAUUGUUGAAAGGGAAGCGUUUAUGACCAGACUUUUUCUAGGCGGAUCAUCCGGUGUUCUCACCGGUGCACUUUGUCUAGUUUAGGCCAGCAUCGGUUUUCAUAGGGGGAUAAAAUCGGUGGGAAUGUGGCUCCCUCGGGAGUGUUAUAGCCCGCCGAAUAAUACCCUUACGGGGACCGAGGUUCGCGCUCUGCAAGGAUGCUGGCGUAAUGGUCAUCAACGACCCGUCUUGAAACACGGACCAAGGAGUCGAACAUUUGUGCGAGUGUUUGGGUGUUAAACCCUCACGCGUAAUGAAAGUGAACGGAGGUGAGAGCUCCUAGGGGUGCAUCAUCGACCGAUCCUGAAGUUUACGGAUGGAUUUGAGUAAGAGCAUAACUGUUCGGACCCGAAAGAUGGUGAACUAUGCGUGGAUAGGGUGAAGCCAGAGGAAACUCUGGUGGAGGCUCGCAGCGGUUCUGACGUGCAAAUCGAUCGUCAAAUCUGCGCAUGGGGGCGAAAGA
This 833-nucleotide ribosomal RNA is filed under the name Amphisphaeria uniseptata. Its description in RNAcentral is "Lepteutypa uniseptata partial 28S ribosomal RNA". It matches the Rfam family "Eukaryotic large subunit ribosomal RNA", at positions 69 to 930 of the family's 3401-position model. Lineage: Eukaryota; Fungi; Ascomycota; Sordariomycetes; Amphisphaeriales; Amphisphaeriaceae. The record is from RNAcentral.